RNAcentral lists this long non-coding RNA (739 nucleotides) under Marmota monax (woodchuck). Lineage: Eukaryota; Metazoa; Chordata; Mammalia; Rodentia; Sciuridae. The record is from RNAcentral.
UCAAAAUCUCCCCUCUCCAGCUUGGGCCUCUUUAGCAGGAAACCUCUCUGGGGAGAGACAGAGUGAGGUGGACCUCUCCUUCCACAUUCCUCCCUGAGCUGCUGGAUGUGGGUUCUAACUUUGGGUUUCUGGGGUCUGGGAGAUACUUAGACCUGAAUCUCUCAUGGGGAUCUUUUAUACAUCUCGAGAGAUCCCCAUUAUAGAGACCCCUCUCCUUAAGUUCCCAUCACGAGCUGACAGCUCCUCUCUUCCAGGCAAUCUUUUUUAUUUCCCCUCAGGGAUCUGGAGGACCACCAUCAGGAUCUCUCAGCUGAGAUCUCCUUCUCUAGGUAGGUAGCUCUUUUGGGCAGGAUCUAGGUUACUUUUCCUGUUGGCCCACAUUUGGAUCUAAGACAAAAGUCCCCAUCCAUGGUCCUGUCAAACUCUGGGAUGCAGGUGACUCCAAUGCAGUCAGUCCCACUGGCUCUGUUACCUAAGAAGCCAAACCUCUCAUCCCAGACCAUCAUGAGUUCAAAUGCAGGAAACACAUCAAGCUCUCUAAAGGGUCCCUUUGAGGACCCCCUCAUGGGGGGCUAGAGGAUGGCAUGGCAAAUCUUCCCCAGCCUGAGCAGUUUCCUCCAGUGAAACUCCUCUAGCACUUUGUCUCAAAUAGCCUCUUUUCUCUACUUGACUCCUAUUUAUUUCUUCAAUUAACUGAGAGGUCUCAGAAGCGUGAAUCAGGUUCUGGACAAUUUCCUUU